RNAcentral lists this transfer RNA (68 nucleotides) under Carettochelys insculpta (pitted-shelled turtle). RNAcentral describes it as "tRNA-Pro". The record is from RNAcentral. Lineage: Eukaryota; Metazoa; Chordata; Testudines; Carettochelyidae.
CAAAGGAUAGUUUAAUUAAGAUUUCGGCUUUGGGGGCCGGUGAUGGAGGUUGAUGCCUUCUCUUUUGA